This 380-nucleotide ribosomal RNA is filed under the name uncultured Rhodocyclaceae bacterium. RNAcentral's name for it is "bacterial SSU rRNA". It matches the Rfam family "Bacterial small subunit ribosomal RNA", at positions 1002 to 1382 of the family's 1533-position model. Lineage: Bacteria; Pseudomonadati; Pseudomonadota; Betaproteobacteria; Rhodocyclales; Rhodocyclaceae. The record is from RNAcentral.
AGAGAUGGCUUGGUGCUCGAAAGAGAGCCGUAACACAGGUGCUGCAUGGCUGUCGUCAGCUCGUGUCGUGAGAUGUUGGGUUAAGUCCCGCAACGAGCGCAACCCUUGUCAUUAGUUGCCAUCAUUGGUUGGGCACUCUAAUGAGACUGCCGGUGACAAACCGGAGGAAGGUGGGGAUGACGUCAAGUCCUCAUGGCCCUUAUGGGUAGGGCUUCACACGUCAUACAAUGGUCGGUACAGAGGGUUGCCAACCCGCGAGGGGGAGCUAAUCCCACAAAGCCGAUCGUAGUCCGGAUCGCAGUCUGCAACUCGACUGCGUGAAGUCGGAAUCGCUAGUAAUCGUGGAUCAGCAUGUCACGGUGAAUACGUUCCCGGGUCUU